GUAACACGUAGGAGGCAAACGUUAUCCGGAUUUACUGGGCGUAAAGCGCGUGUAGGUGGUUCUGUAAGUAGGGCGUGAAAGCUCCCGGCUCAACUGGGAGAGGCCGUUCUAAACUGCAGAGCUAGAGGAUGGUAGAGGGAGGUGGAAUUCCAGGUGCAGCGGUAGAAUGCGCAGAUAUCUGGAGGAACACCAGUGGCGAAAGCGGCCUCCUGGACCAUUCCUGACACUCAGACGCGAAAGCUAGGGUAGCAAACGGGAUUAGAGACCCCGGUAGUCCUAGCCCUAAACGAUGUAGACUAGACGUCGGCGGUGUAAUAGCUGUCGGUGUCCAAGCUAACGCGAUAAGUCUACCGCCUGGGGACUACGGCCGCAAGGUUAAAACUCAAAGGAAUUGACGGGUCCCCGCACAAGCAGCGGAGCGUGUGGUUUAAUUCGUUGCUACACGAAGAACCUUACCUGGGUUUGACAUAGCAGUGGUAGGGAAGAGAAAUCGGACCGACCCUUCGGGGAGCUGUUACAGGUGUUGCAUGGCUGUCGUCAGCUCGUGUCGUGAGAUGCUCGGUUAAGUCCGCUAACGAGCGCAACCCGCGUUGUGUGUUAUAUGUGUCACACAAUACCGCCGGUAUUAAGCCGGAGGAAGGUGCGGAUGACGUCAAGUCAGCAUGACCUUUAUAUCCAGGGCUACACACACGCUACAAUGGACAGUACAACAGGUUGCCAAGCCGCGAGGCGGAGCCAAUCCUCUAAAGCUGUCCUCAGUUCAGAUUGCAGGCUGCAACUCGCCUGCAUGAAGUUGGAGUUGCUAGUAACCGCAGGUCAGCUAUACUGCGGUGAAUACGUUCCCGGGGAUUGUACACACCGCCCGUAAGGGC
Molecule: ribosomal RNA, 872 nt
Filed under: uncultured bacterium
Lineage: Bacteria
Description: bacterial SSU rRNA
Rfam family: Bacterial small subunit ribosomal RNA
Source: RNAcentral